This 408-nucleotide ribosomal RNA is filed under the name uncultured bacterium. RNAcentral's name for it is "partial 16S ribosomal RNA". It matches the Rfam family "Bacterial small subunit ribosomal RNA", at positions 28 to 526 of the family's 1533-position model. The record is from RNAcentral.
GACGAACGCUGGCGGCGUGCUUAACACAUGCAAGUCGAACGAAGUGGCGAACGGGUGAGUAACGCGUAAUCAACCUGCCCUUCAGAGGGGGACAACAGUUGGAAACGACUGCUAAUACCGCAUACUGAAGGUGGGGUGUGCGUCUGAUUAGCUAGUUGGAGGGGUAACGGCCCACCAAGGCGAUGAUCAGUAGCCGGUCUGAGAGGAGGAACGGCCACAUAGGGCCUGAGACACGGCCCAGACGCCUACGGGGGGCAGCAGUGGAGAAUAUUGCACCAUGGGGGAAACCCGGAUGCAGCAACGCCGCGUGCGGGAUGACGGCCUUCGGGUUGUAAACCGCUUUCAGCCAUGACGCGGUAGUGGCAGAAGAAGCACCGGCUAACUACGUGCCAGCAGCCGCGGUAAUUC